This 253-nucleotide ribosomal RNA is filed under the name uncultured bacterium. RNAcentral's name for it is "partial 16S ribosomal RNA". It matches the Rfam family "Bacterial small subunit ribosomal RNA", at positions 524 to 776 of the family's 1533-position model. The record is from RNAcentral.
UACAGAGGGGGCAAGCGUUGUUCGGAAUUACUGGGCGUAAAGGGCGCGUAGGCGGCCGCCUAAGUCAGACGUGAAAUCCCUCGGCUCAACCGGGGAACUGCGUCUGAUACUGGGUGGCUUGAAUCCGGGAGAGGGAUGCGGAAUUCCAGGUGUAGCGGUGAAAUGCGUAGAUAUCAGGAGGAACACCGGUGGCGAAGGCGGUUCUCUGGGCCUGUACUGACGCUGAGGAACGAAAGCGUGGGGAGCGAACAGG